Molecule: unclassified non-coding RNA, 297 nt
Filed under: Hevea brasiliensis (rubber tree)
Lineage: Eukaryota; Viridiplantae; Streptophyta; Magnoliopsida; Malpighiales; Euphorbiaceae
Source: RNAcentral
UGCAGAUAAUAUAAAUCAGCUGUUUGAGGUACCUCUGAUCCUUCACGCGUUUUUAUGGCAUGGUUCUGUAUGUGACAAUUAUAACUGCAACGUCUUGUGAAUUUCAUAAGGCUUCAGUUAAUUAACUUGUUACUUUAAAACAAGCAAAAAAAAGGGGGCAGGGGAGAAAGUAUUUAUUUGGACUCCAUGCCUUUUGGUACAAUGUCAUUAAACUGGUGAUACUCUCCCCUCAAGGUGCAGUUAUGUGCCCCAACAGAAUUUAGACCCUUAUUUUGGUAGAAAAACAGAACAACCCCA